UACGGAUAAGUCUGCGGACUAUCAGGUUGUAGUUAGGAUAAAUACCUGACUAGCCGACGACGGAUACGGGUAGUGAGAGCUUUAGCCCGGAGAUGAUAUCUGAGACACGAUAUCAGGCCCUACGGGGCGCAGCAGGCGCGAAAACUUCGCACUGUGCGAAAGCACGACGAGGGAAUCCCAAGUGCUGGUUCGUAAGAGUCAGCUGUUUCUUUGUCUAAAAAACAGGGAGAGUAAGAGCUGGGUAAGACGGGUGCCAGCCGCCGCGGUAAUACCUGCAGCUCAAGUAGUGGCCGCUAUUAUUGGGCCUAAAACGUCCGUAGCCGGUUCUAUAAAUGCCUGGGUAAAUCGUACGGCUUAACCGUACGAAUUCCGGGUAGACUGUUCAACUUGAGACCGGGAGAGGCUAGAGGUACUCCUGGGGUAGAGGUGUAAUUCUGUAAUCCUAGGGGGACCACCAGUGGCGAAGGCGUCUAGCUAGAACGGGUCUGACGGUGA
This 495-nucleotide ribosomal RNA is filed under the name uncultured archaeon. Its description in RNAcentral is "bacterial SSU rRNA". It matches the Rfam family "Archaeal small subunit ribosomal RNA", at positions 204 to 700 of the family's 1478-position model. The record is from RNAcentral.